Molecule: long non-coding RNA, 882 nt
Organism: Oncorhynchus nerka (sockeye salmon)
Lineage: Eukaryota; Metazoa; Chordata; Actinopteri; Salmoniformes; Salmonidae
Exons: 2
Source: RefSeq, a predicted model, not a curated record
UGAAAGCAUGAGCUACAGCUAGCUAACACUGCAGUGCAUAAAGUGUGUUGAGUAGUUGACUCAAAGAGAGAAAGAAAAGAGUUGAUUUGUUUUGAACAAAUUCAUUUCUUCAAAACAGGAGACGCAGCAGAGCUAUAUUUAGUUGUAUUUUUUUUCUUCGUCUUAGUUUCCCUUUCACUUACUUUGCUAAUGCAGCUAAUUUAACCUACUCAACAACUUGACUCAAACAGAGAGGAAAGAGCUAAGGCUAUCCAACACUGCAACUUUUCCAAGUCAACAGGAUUUGAGCCCUGUGACCAUGCCUAAGGACUACCUGGCCUGAUGACUCCUUUCUGUCCCCUGUCCACCUGGUCAUGCUGCUGCUCCAGUUUCAACUGUUCUGCCUGCGGCUAAGGAACCCUGACAUGUUCACCGGACGUGCUACCUUGUCCCGGACCUGCUGUUUUCGACUCUCUCUCUCUACCGCACCUGCUGUCUCUAACUCUGAAUGCUCAGCUAUGAAAAGCCAACUGACAUUUACUCCUGAGGUGCUGACCUGUUGAACCUUCUACAACCAAUGUGAUUAUCAUUAUUAUUAUUAUUUUUAUUAUUUGAUCCUGCUGGUCAUCUAUGAACGUUUGAACAUUUUGGCCAUGUACUAUUAUAAUCUCUCCUCCAGAAGAGGACUGGCCACCCCUCAGAGCCUGGUUCCUCUCUAGGUUUCUUCCUAGGUUCUUGCCUUUCUAGGGAGUUUUUUCCAGCCAACGUGCUUCUACAUCUGCAUUGCUUGCUGUUAGGGGUUUUAGGCUGGGUUUCGUAUAGCACUUUGACAUUGGCUGAUGUAAAAAGACCUUUACAAAUACAUUUGAUUGAUUGAUCUGAAAAUAAACAUACUGAAAUGGC